UACGGAGGGGGCAAGCGUUGUUCGGAAUCACUGGGUGUAAAGGGUGCGUAGGCGGUCUGUUAAGUCUGAUGUGAAAUCCCUCGGCUCAACUGAGGAACUGCAUUGGAAACUGGCGGGCUGGAGUACUGAAGAGGAGAGCGGAAUUCCUGGUGUAGCGGUGAAAUGCGUAGAUACCAGGAGGAACACCGGUGGCGAAGGCGGCUCUCUGGUCAGAUACUGACGCUGAGGCACGAAAGCGUGGGGAGCAAAC
Molecule: ribosomal RNA, 250 nt
Filed under: uncultured archaeon
Lineage: Archaea
Description: partial 16S ribosomal RNA
Rfam family: Bacterial small subunit ribosomal RNA
Source: RNAcentral